UAUAAAUGAGUGGAGAAGUUCCAGAAUUUUUGGAUCCAACAGGGCCAUGAAUUGUAUAUUUUUUAAAAAACACUGGAAACAAUUCGGAACAUAUCCAUUUUACAGAGUAAGGCAUUGGCUAGUGUUUCUAUGUUAGAUCUAGGGGUAAAGAUGAGAAACCUGUCUACUUCAAGCGUCAAGUCCCUAACCAAGAACAGCUCACCAUUUCGUGUGUUCCAUACCCUGAAGGAACCUCCAGCCUCCACUGUCUUUGCUGAGCUUACCGAAUUUUUCCCAUUCUCUUGAAGAAGGGCAAUUUUUGAAGGCACUUCUGGAGUCCCUGUGGGUUAUUGGGAAUCCCUGCAGGUCUCCUUUCUACUCUCAUUGCUGCUGAUUUCACCAUCACCAACACCAAGUCUCCCUACCCAAGGUUUCUCAGCUGAAGAUGUGUUUUCCUCUGCUAAAGCAGGCUCAUGGAGAUAAGUGCGCCCACCAGGGCAGAAGAGGGUGGAGCUAGCCUACUUCCUUGUACAGCCCACAGAAGCCCACCGGAGCUCCAGCUGUCCCCGGGCUGGAUUAAACUUCUUCAAGGGACAACACAAGGCAACAUUUUCCUGAGGAAUUCCAGCCAGCAUGAACUCUCUCACAUAGCACCCUCCUCAAACAGGGCAUGGACUUAUUGCUGAGGACAGUCCCUCACAUUAGUUUUCCAACUCUGAGACAGGGCCACAGGAAGGCCAAACCCAAAGUGAGUUCUCAAAUGCUCUUGAGGGCAGGGUGCUGGGCAUCACGGUACAAUAUGGGCAGUCAACACAGACAACCAAAGGGUCCACCAUGGCCUGGACCCCUGGGUAGCUGUAUGAUUACUGCAGGGCACAUCCAGGAAACUCUGUGAGUGCCCAGAUGGGCCUGCUGUCUCAUUCAUAUAGGACAGCUGGCUCCUAAAUGUCUCUGGAAAUGGAUGUGAUGAAUGAAACAUAUGUGA
RNAcentral lists this long non-coding RNA (964 nucleotides) under Heterocephalus glaber (naked mole-rat). RNAcentral's name for it is "lncRNA (ENSHGLG00100048218.1)". The record is from RNAcentral. Lineage: Eukaryota; Metazoa; Chordata; Mammalia; Rodentia; Bathyergidae.